GAUAGCUUUGCAUGGUACUUUACUGACAAGAUUGAACAGCAAAGGAAAGAAUUUUCCCCAGUCUGCCUUUCUCUUUCUCAACCACAUGUAGAUCAUGCCGUUCCUACCCUUCAGACUUUCUCCCCGGCUACUGAACAAGUGGUGGCUGCACUUUUAUUUUCCUCUCCCCCCACCACUUGCCCACUUGAUCCUGUCCCAUCUCACCUUAUCAGAUCUCUGUGACUUCCUUAAACAUGCCAC
Molecule: non-coding RNA, 240 nt
Organism: Pelobates cultripes (western spadefoot toad)
Lineage: Eukaryota; Metazoa; Chordata; Amphibia; Anura; Pelobatidae
Source: the annotation of a GenBank genome assembly